Molecule: transfer RNA, 75 nt
Filed under: Aedes aegypti (yellow fever mosquito)
Lineage: Eukaryota; Metazoa; Arthropoda; Insecta; Diptera; Culicidae
Rfam family: tRNA
About the family: Transfer RNA (tRNA) molecules are approximately 80 nucleotides in length.
Source: Rfam by way of RNAcentral
CGUUCUGUGGCGUAGUUGGUUAACGCGCCCAGUCUAGCGUAUUGGGAAUCGUGGGUUCGAAGCCUACCAGAACAA